UACGAAGGGGGCUAGCGUUGUUCGGAAUCACUGGGCGUAAAGCGCACGUAGGCCGAUUGGUCAGUUGGGGGUGAAAUCCCGGGGCUUAACCUCGGAACUGCCUUCAAUACUGCCAGUCUCGAGUCCGGAAGAGGUGAGUGGAAUUCCUAGUGUAGAGGUGAAAUUCGUAGAUAUUAGGAAGAACACCAGUGGCGAAGGCGGCUCACUGGUCCUGUACUGACGCUGAGAUGCGAAAGCGUGGGGAGCAUAUAGG
This 253-nucleotide ribosomal RNA is filed under the name uncultured bacterium. RNAcentral describes it as "partial 16S ribosomal RNA". It matches the Rfam family "Bacterial small subunit ribosomal RNA", at positions 524 to 776 of the family's 1533-position model. The record is from RNAcentral.